GGUGUGUGUGAGUAGAGGGGAGCGGUGAAGGCGGCUCCGCGGCGUCGGAACAGGGCUGCGCCCGCCCCUCCUGCCGCCCUCCUGGGAAUGGGUUGAGGCAUUAUGGGUUUAUUGAGCUGUCUCGGCUGUCACACCUGUCCUGAGGAAAGCCCUGUGGAAGGAGCUCGGUGCCGGGAUUCAGGACCCUGAGGCCACUGUGAAACUGCAAAUUCUUUCCAAGCUGUUGUCACCUCCAGGAAGCAAAGGGCUGCACAACCUGAUGGAUUGCCUUCCUGCUGCUCCGGAGAGAGCAGGCAAUGAAGAGAGGUACCGUUACAGAGAUGAAACAUUUCUGAAGCCAUCCUGAGGUCAAGAGAAGAAGAUGGCAUGAGUGUCCAGACAAGAGGAUGGCUCUCUGUGGUCUCAGACAGUGUUCCCUGGGAGGAAGGGCAGCCUUUGCCUCGCCUGCACAGCUCAGGUGGAUGUGACAGAACUGGUGUGGCCUGACAAGGCAUGAGCAGCUGUCUGUGCACUGGAGUGCCUUGAAACCUUUCUCUGUGAGGUUUUGGACACGUUUCUCUUUGGGAUUUCUUGUGACACAGCACCAGGACAGGAGAAAUCAUUGAGCUCCUCCCAUCUUUGCCAGAAGCUUUGGUGUUUAAGCAGCCAGAGCCAAGAGGCUUCAGCACCAGGGGUGUGCGCUGGAGGGCUCCUGGUCCUGCCCAUGCUGUGGGGUAAGUCGGAGGGACGCAGGGUUCCCCUUUUCCUCUCUGCUGGGAUUAAGUACCUCAGGAAUGCCAUUUCUGACAGCCCAGCCCUACCCCUGUGUGCUGGGAAAGGGCAGCAGGGAAGAGGCAAAUGCCAGAGUUCCUUGGGGCUGACGGAAUUGUGGUGUUUGGCUGUGCCCAGGGGGGCAGGCUGGGCAUUGUUCGGGCACCCAAGGACUGGUCUGGGGCUGGGAGCCCGGGGAGCCGAGCUCUCGGUGCAUUCCCAGCUCUGCCAGCUGCUGCAGGGCUGGGUGCCAGCCUCUGCUGGGGCUGGGGCAGGAGCUGCAGGGGAGGGCUGGCAGGAUUUGGGAGCAGAGGGAGGAAAAUGAGGAACGGUGCUGGGCAGUGCUCAGCCUGUGCUGGUGUCAGCGCAGCCGUGCAGGGCGCCGGGAUCUGGGUUCAGCUCCGGCUCUCCUGGGGUUCAGGGUGCAAGGUCGGAGGGACUGGGUUUAUCUGUGGCUUUCCAGGCCAGCAGGAACAAGGGGAAUGUGGUGCCAGAGCUGUGUCCCAUCGGGCUGCGCUUCCCUCUGAGCACAGAGAGUCUGGGCUGAGGGGAGAUUGCUGCGAGUGCCCCGUGAGCAAUCCAGGGAACUCGGAAUUGCAUCCGCUGCUGGGAACACUGCCUGAGCUCUGCUCAGGCUGUGUCUGCGAGGAGUGGGAUUUGGGCUGCAGAGGUGCUGCUGGGCACAGAAAAUGGAGUAAAUCCUCUCCAGAGACGUGCAGUGAAGGACAGUGUAGCAGGGAAGGGGAGUAUUUACAAACUAUAUCAGUAUUUCUCCCAAAACUGGGAGAAAUGGGGUGGAGCAGAGAUGGGGUGGUUUGGUUUUGUCUGGGCCGGUUAUUUCUUGUGCAAUGUUUUAAAUCUGUUGUAGGAUUGAAUCUCCAGUCUCUUUCUAACAAAAGCUGACAGAAAUUUAGGUUCAGGGUUAGAAGUUGGUAGAAAUGGUAAUGAAGUACAGAAUUUUUGAUGAAAUUGAUAAUAUAAUACACUGUAUUUUUUUUUACUUCUGAAUAGGUGUUUGUCAGUGUUUUCUUUUAGCUGUUUUAAUUGGAGGUGUUUUAUUUUUUUAAGAAAAUUAACCAUAUACUGUAUAGUUUAGAGAAAUGAUUUUUAAUAAAAUUUAGCAUAAGUUAUAUUAAAUAACAUUUAAAUUUAGACUGAAUGAAUUUUGGUAGUAAGGAAUAAUAAACUUAUUUUUAACAGAUAAAAAGAAAAUGUAUUUAUUUAAAUGUAUUGACACUUAAUUUUGUUUGAUUUUAUUAAUACUUAACAUAUUGAAUGUUAUUAUUUAUAAAUAUUGAAGGUUUUUUAAGUCUUUUGGUUUUGAAGAAAUUUUAGCUUGUUGAGUUAUGAUUAUUACUUAUAUCUUUACAGGGUGGUUUUACUUAUUGGGAGCUAUGUUUCUUAAGAAAAUAUUUUAAUUUAUGUUACAUUUCAAAUGGUACUAAUUUGUAUAGUGGGGUUUUUUUUAAUGCAGGAUAUUGAUUAGAUUGUUUUAUAUUUUUUGUGGGCUUUGACAAAUAUUUAUAUGGUUAGGCUUUUCUAUAUUUGAAGUAUGUUUUGAUGGUUUUUGUUGAUAUAGAAUUUGAAGAGUAUUUGGUGUUUGGAGGAAAUAAAGGUGAGUUUUUUUUGGAUACAGGUGAGUUGUAUUUUUAAUGUUACUAAGGACUACUUUUGGUACGUUAUUUUGAUUUUUUGUUUGGUUAUGGGGAGGGUCUCCUGUUAGAUGUGCAAGCAUGAGACUGGCACUAGGGCUUUUUGUCUAAUGGUUGAUGGGUCUGUUUUAUGGGGAGGAGGUGUUAUUUUAAGUUUUAUAAAAUACACUGAGAAUUAGUUAAAAUCAUGUGAGAAACAUUAUGGUAAUUAAAGAGUGCUAUGUUUAAAGAGCUAUAAAUCUUUUUUAAUAACUGCUUGACAUAAGGUGAGCUUGAUCUACUUUUUCUGCCCCAGCAAGCAUCAGGCACGUCUGCAUCAAUGGCACAACUUCUGCCCACUGCUCCUGUUUCACCCGACCAAAAUCAAGAGCAAAAGAUGGUUGGGCUUUAAGAACUUGAAAUAACUUUGAAGCAAAAUA
Long non-coding RNA from Taeniopygia guttata (zebra finch), 2821 nucleotides. Lineage: Eukaryota; Metazoa; Chordata; Aves; Passeriformes; Estrildidae. The record is from Ensembl.